Anas platyrhynchos (mallard) is the source of this 526-nucleotide long non-coding RNA. RefSeq lists it as uncharacterized. Lineage: Eukaryota; Metazoa; Chordata; Aves; Anseriformes; Anatidae. The record is from RefSeq and is a predicted model, not a curated record.
AGGAAAUUACCCUUCCCUCCACAAACUGUUUGCUAAGUCAGAAGAGGGUGUGGUAAUGAGAGCAAUAAACCAUGGGAGCUCAUCUGUGCACCUGCUGCAAUCUCCCCUCUCUCUGCUGGUACAGGAAGCCUGAUUUAAGGGCUUGAUUUAUGCCACCUUUCUGCACUGUGGACUGCUUGUGCACUCUCCUUGAAGCAAUCUGAGCAGAAUGUUAUAUGAAAAGGAGAGACUGCAUCGUAUUUCUGCCAUGCUGCUUGUCAGACAGAUCCAAAAAGCAAACUCUGGUGCUCUGAAGUAUCUGACGGAUUUGCAUGGGACCAACAUACGUGAUGUGUAGGAGCUCUGACCACUUCUGGUGCGACAUCUCUGUUUGGACAACUCAAUCCACUAUUACGAUGAAAUGAACCUGAAAAAUCUCUCUUCUUUCAUUCAGAAGAUGAUCCUCAGCUCCCUCGUGCCCUCCUGGUGGCCAGGGCACUGAGUGCAAAAUCAAGAGUGCAAAAUAAAAACUGCUGUUUUCUCUUUU